This 487-nucleotide ribosomal RNA is filed under the name uncultured bacterium. RNAcentral's name for it is "bacterial SSU rRNA". It matches the Rfam family "Bacterial small subunit ribosomal RNA", at positions 28 to 507 of the family's 1533-position model. The record is from RNAcentral.
GAUGAACGCUAGCGGCAGGCCUAACACAUGCAAGUCGAGGGGCAUCGCGGUGCAGCAAUGCACUGGCGGCGACCGGCGUACGGGUGCGUAACGCGUAUGCAACCUGCCCCGCACCGGGGGAUAGCCCGCCGAAAGGCGGAUUAAUACCCCAUGGUCCCGGGGGCCCGCAUGGGCAUCCGGGUAAAGCCUUGGCGGUGCGGGAUGGGCAUGCGUGCCAUUAGCUGGCUGGUGGGGUAACGGCCCACCAGGGCAACGAUGGCUAGGGGGUCUGAGAGGACGGUCCCCCACACUGGUACUGAGACACGGACCAGACUCCUACGGGAGGCAGCAGUGAGGAAUAUUGGUCAAUGGGGCGGAAGCCUGAACCAGCCCAUGCCGCGUGCGGGAUGAAGGCCCUACGGGUUGUAACCGCUUUUCCCCGGGAAGAAUAACCCCGAUGAGUCGGGGAUGCCGGUACCGGGGGAAGUAAGGAUCGGCUAACUCCGUG